UUGUUAGGGAAGAACAAGUACAAGAGUAACUGCUUGUACCUUGACGGUACCUAACCAGAAAGCCACGGCUAACUACGUGCCAGCAGCCGCGGUAAUACGUAGGUGGCAAGCGUUAUCCGGAAUUAUUGGGCGUAAAGCGCGCGCAGGCGGUUUCUUAAGUCUGAUGUGAAAGCCCACGGCUCAACCGUGGAGGGUCAUUGGAAACUGGGGAACUUGAGUGCAGAAGAGAAAAGCGGAAUUCCACGUGUAGCGGUGAAAUGCGUAGAGAUGUGGAGGAACACCAGUGGCGAAGGCGGCUUUUUGGUCUGUAACUGACGCUGAGGCGCGAAAGCGUGGGGAGCAAACAGGAUUAGAUACCCUGGUAGUCCACGCCGUAAACGAUGAGUGCUAAGUGUUAGAGG
This 401-nucleotide ribosomal RNA is filed under the name bacterium WICC B-36. RNAcentral describes it as "bacterial SSU rRNA". It matches the Rfam family "Bacterial small subunit ribosomal RNA", at positions 434 to 829 of the family's 1533-position model. The record is from RNAcentral.